RNAcentral lists this ribosomal RNA (467 nucleotides) under uncultured bacterium. RNAcentral describes it as "partial 16S ribosomal RNA". It matches the Rfam family "Bacterial small subunit ribosomal RNA", at positions 29 to 507 of the family's 1533-position model. The record is from RNAcentral.
ACGAACGCUGGCGGCGUGCUUAACACAUGCAAGUCGAACGGAAAGGCCCUGCUUUUGUGGGGUGCUCGAGUGGCGAACGGGUGAGUAACACGUAAGUAACCUGCCCUUGACUUUGGGAUAACUUCAGGAAACUGGGGCUAAUACCGGAUAGGAGCUCCUGCUGCAUGGUGGGGGUUGGAAAGUUUCGGCGGUUGGGGAUGGACUCGCGGCUUAUCAGCUUGUUGGUGGGGUAGUGGCUUACCAAGGCUUUGACGGGUAGCCGGCCUGAGAGGGUGACCGGCCACAUUGGGACUGAGAUACGGCCCAGACUCCUACGGAAGGCAGCAGUGGGGAAUAUUGCACAAUGGGCGGAAGCCUGAUGCAGCAACGCCGCGUGCGGGAUGACGGCCUUCGGGUUGUAAACCGCUUUCGCCUGUGACGAAGCGUGAGUGACGGUAAUGGGUAAAGAAGCACCGGCUAACUACGUG